GCGGGCAUGGUAUAGUGGUUGUGCCUUAGCCUUCCAAGCUAAUGAGUCCGGUUCGAUCCCGGAUGUCCGCUCCA
This 74-nucleotide transfer RNA is filed under the name Escherichia coli. RNAcentral describes it as "tRNA-Gly". It matches the Rfam family "tRNA". Rfam says of the family: Transfer RNA (tRNA) molecules are approximately 80 nucleotides in length. RNAcentral also lists the same sequence under 3 other names. Lineage: Bacteria; Pseudomonadati; Pseudomonadota; Gammaproteobacteria; Enterobacterales; Enterobacteriaceae. The record is from RNAcentral.